AAAGAUGUUCAGGUGGCCGCCCGGAUUCGUCCGGGAGGAAAGUCCGAGCACCACAGGGCGAGGCGCUGGGUAACUCCCAGUCCCGGUGACGGGAAGGAAAGUGCCACAGAAAAAAUACCGCCCGGAUUCGUCCGGGUAAGGGUGAAAAGGCGAGGUAAGAGCUCACCGCGGACCUGGUGACAGGGACGGCAUGGUAAACCCCGCCUGGUGCAAGACCAAAUAGGGGGGCGCUCCCGCAAGGGAUAAGAUUGGCCCGGUCUAUGCUCCCGGGUAAGGUCGCUUGAGCGAAAGGGUAACUUUUCGCCUAGAGUAAUGGUCACCCACCUUCCUUUCGGGGGAGGUAUGACAGAACUCGGCUUACGAACAUCUUUCACG
RNAcentral lists this RNase P RNA (375 nucleotides) under Leptospirillum sp. RNAcentral's name for it is "RNase P RNA component class A". It matches the Rfam family "Bacterial RNase P class A". Rfam says of the family: Ribonuclease P (RNase P) is a ubiquitous endoribonuclease, found in archaea, bacteria and eukarya as well as chloroplasts and mitochondria. Its best characterised activity is the generation of mature 5'-ends of tRNAs by cleaving the 5'-leader elements of precursor-tRNAs. Lineage: Bacteria; Pseudomonadati; Nitrospirota; Nitrospiria; Nitrospirales; Nitrospiraceae. RNAcentral also lists the same sequence under 1 other name. The record is from RNAcentral.